AGUAACUUUGUUAACUCUCCUGUCUUUUCUUCUUCUACCAGAAAAGGGAGCAAUACAACUGUCUCAACCAUCACAGGCAUUUAAGAUUUAUGAUAUCUGUCAUGUGUCUCUAUCAACAUUCUCUUCUUUCUGUGCUCCACUGACUGCUUCAAACUGAAGCCCCCAAUCAAAGCCAUAAUCCAAGACUACCUCAGCUCGUCGGUUGAGGUUGAUGACGAGUGCCACCUGUCAGCCACAGCUGAAAAACUCAUUCUCCUAUUGUAAACCUUUUCUUUUACAAUAAGUGCUUAAGCAGAGACAGAAAAAUCAUAGUAGUUUAAUUUUUACUGUAUUGAUAUAGCAAAAGUACAAUUUUUGACAAUAAUUUUGACAAUAUAAUGGACCGGUCAUCAUCAAGAUCAGACUGCUGAAUACUGCACUGGAAAUGCUGAGAGUAUGAAGCAAGAGAAAGAAAAAGAGAGCGAACAAGCGCUAACCUGAAGAAAAUAGAGGAGAAGAAAGAAGAGGUAAAAAAGUGGAGUUUUAUGUCUGUUAUGGAAGGCAGGAAGAAGCUAUCUGAUACUGGGCAAUAAAAGGUAAAA
Myxocyprinus asiaticus (Chinese sucker) is the source of this 581-nucleotide long non-coding RNA. RefSeq lists it as uncharacterized. The record is from RefSeq and is a predicted model, not a curated record. Lineage: Eukaryota; Metazoa; Chordata; Actinopteri; Cypriniformes; Catostomidae. The transcript is spliced from 3 exons.